UGGGGAAUAUUGGACAAUGGAGGAAACUCUGAUCCAGCAAUUCUGUGUGUGUGAAGAAGGUUUUAGGACUGUAAAACACCUUUAGUAGGGAAGAAAAAAAUGACGGUACCUACAGAAGAAGCAACGGCUAAAUACGUGCCAGCAGCCGCGGUAAUACGUAUGUUGCGAGCGUUAUCCGGAAUUAUUGGGCUUAAAGGGCAUCUAGGCGGUAAGACAAGUUGAAGGUGAAAACCUGUGGCUCAACCAUAGGCUUGCCUACAAAACUGUUGAACUAGAGUACUGGAAAGGUGGGUGGAACUACACGAGUAGAGGUGAAAUUCGUAGAUAUGUGUAGGAAUGCCGAUGAUGAAGAUAACUCACUGGACAGAAACUGACGCUGAAGUGCGAAAGCUAGGGGAGCAAACAGG
RNAcentral lists this ribosomal RNA (407 nucleotides) under Verrucomicrobiota bacterium. RNAcentral describes it as "Verrucomicrobia bacterium partial 16S ribosomal RNA". It matches the Rfam family "Bacterial small subunit ribosomal RNA", at positions 355 to 776 of the family's 1533-position model. The record is from RNAcentral. Lineage: Bacteria; Pseudomonadati; Verrucomicrobiota.